UGGCAUCGGGGGGAUUCGAACCCACGCCUCGAAAGACUUGUGCCUAAAACCAGCGCCUUAGACCACUCGGGCACGUUACC
Molecule: transfer RNA, 80 nt
Filed under: Araneus ventricosus
Lineage: Eukaryota; Metazoa; Arthropoda; Arachnida; Araneae; Araneidae
Description: tRNA-Leu
Source: RNAcentral